CUGUGACUCUAGAGAACCCUGACUAAUACACCACCCAACAGGCAAAUUUACAAAGACUUGGACUUAAAUGGCACCUUCUUUAAUAUUCCCCUAGAUAAAACAGCCAACCACUUUUCACCUUCAAGUAGCAAGAUAUGGAAAACAGGUUCACUGUACAGCUAAUCUGGACAAGACUUCUGCAAGGAUUUAAGAACUUGCCCACCAUCUUUGACAAAGCUCUCCAUCAGGACUUAUGUUGGCUUGGAGACAGCACUGCUUGACAGAAGAUACCCUGCUUUCCUAAUGCCCGCAAAAGUACAAGGCCCAACAGUGUGAACUUCCUGGACCUGCUUUACACUUGAUGCAAUCCUGGCCUUAGUAGAGAGGCCUGGCAAGUGGAGCUGGAGGUCUUGGAUAGAGGAGAACAUGGACACUGUGGUGCCAGCAUUCCUCAGGCUUUGAUCCUUGGACCAGCUUGAUCCUGCAUUCUUACAUUAGUGGGUGAUAGCACUGAACUUCCAGAAGCAGUGGUCUUCAUUUCAUCUGACAAAUGCUUGUAAAGUGGGUUCUGCCCUUAUAAGUAAAGAACAGAGGAGCCAAAGGUUGGCUUGGAGUACUCAGAGACAGCACUGCUUGACAGAAGAUACCCUGCAAUCCUAAUGUCCUCAAAAGUACAACGCCCAAGAGUAUGAACUUCCUGGAGCUGCUUUGCACUUGAUGCAAUCCUGGUCUAAGUAGAGAGGCCUUGCAAGUGGAGCUGGAGGUCUUGGGUAGAGGAGAACAUGGACUCGGUGGUGCCAGCAUUCCUCAGGUUGGUUGACUAUGUGUUGUGUUUGUGUGUAUGCACGUGUGUGUGUUCAACAUGCCGUGUGUGUGUAUGUCAGAGGACAACAGUAGCUACAUCAUGGAAAUUAUGUGAGUUUAGAAUAUUGAACUCAGGUUGUCAGGCUUGAGAGCCAGCUCCUUGACUCACUGAUCCAUUUUGCUUGCCCCAUUCUUCACCUUAACAGUGUCUCCCGAAGCCACAAGAAAAUCAAGAGACUAUCACCAGACCUUAAAUCCCUCUAUUUGUGUUGUUAUGUUCCACAGUGGUGGGGAUAGAUCCCAGGUUUCCCACUUACUAUUCAACAGUUCCACUGUGGAACUUGCCCCAGCUCAACACUGGGCAUUUUUCCUAGGAACCCCUUUCCCACAUUGAAUAAGCAGAUACAUUGUCAGUAGAAAUUGCAGGCCUGAUCACAUGUGCACCCAUGCUCCAGAGGUGGCACCAUAGUUUAAUACUUAGAAUUGUCAACAGUAAAGACCUUGACACAUACAUGUAUAGCCCAACAUCAGUUUUUCAAUUGUAAUCCUGAACCUUUCAACCUAUGAAAAUUACUCUUGAAGGCUAUUUUCACCCUGUGCUCUAUACAGUAACACUUU
Molecule: long non-coding RNA, 1401 nt
Organism: Mus musculus (house mouse)
Lineage: Eukaryota; Metazoa; Chordata; Mammalia; Rodentia; Muridae
Product: predicted gene, 32110
Exons: 4
Source: RefSeq, a predicted model, not a curated record